AUGAACGCUGGCGGUAUGCUUAACACAUGCAAGUCGAACGGCGCUUUAGGGCACAGUGGCGGACGGGUGAGUAACGCGUGAGAAUCUGGCUUUAGGUCUGGGACAACCACUGGAAACGGUGGCUAAUACCGGAUGUGCCGAAAGGUGAAAGGUUAACUGCCUGAAGAUGAGCUCGCGUCUGAUUAGCUAGUAGGUGUGGUAAAGGCGCACCUAGGCGACGAUCAGUAGCUGGUCUGAGAGGACGAUCAGCCACACUGGGACUGAGACACGGCCCAGACUCCUACGGGAGGCAGCAGUGGGGAAUUUUCCGCAAUGGGCGAAAGCCUGACGGAGCAAUACCGCGUGAGGGAGGAAGGCUCUUGGGUCGUAAACCUCUUUUCUCAGGGAAGAACAAAAUGACGGUACCUGAGGAAUAAGCAUCGGCUAACUCCAU
This 433-nucleotide ribosomal RNA is filed under the name uncultured bacterium. RNAcentral describes it as "bacterial SSU rRNA". It matches the Rfam family "Bacterial small subunit ribosomal RNA", at positions 29 to 506 of the family's 1533-position model. The record is from RNAcentral.